This 865-nucleotide long non-coding RNA is filed under the name Cricetulus griseus (Chinese hamster). RNAcentral's name for it is "lncRNA (ENSCGRG00000024934.1)". The record is from RNAcentral. Lineage: Eukaryota; Metazoa; Chordata; Mammalia; Rodentia; Cricetidae.
GACAACCACCCAAUGGAACGGCCAAGCAGAGCAAAUGCUGCUCCUGGAGGAAACCGGUCAGCGAGUCAAAAUGGUCAUCUCAGGGACAUGGGAGGAGAUACCGUAGCCCCCAAACUAGAGCAGAAGCCGGGGAAAGGAAACGGCAGAGAAGGCUGAGUGACGGGAGAAACAAGCCACAUCGCAGCUAUAUAGGAUCCACUGCCUGCUGUUGGCUACAGCAGAGGUCUGCUAUGGUCCUUUCUGAAGAAUGGGUCUUGUGCCAGUUUUGUCAUUCCUGUUGUCUGCGCUGGGCUCCUUCCAGUGAUUGCAUCAAAUCAGUAACCAUAACUCCCUGGACAUUCAAAGGGACAUACACCAGAAAAACAAGGAAUAGUAUGAUAAACUAAAAACCUUAUAAACUGUGGGAAACAGAUUUGGGCCUCAAAUAGUUAUCUAAUGGCUAAAGGGUCACCUUCACAGGCCAUCCAUCCUCUGCUUGGAGUGAAAGCUAUAGACAUCUGUCUCUGUUCAUACUUAGAUCCAUGGAAAGUCUUGACCCAAUAAUAAAAUCCCCCCUCAGAAAACAAAAACAAAAACAAAACAAAAAAACCAAAAACCUCUGGUUCCGGUUCAGUGACCCUGCUCAGAGGCAUCUGACACCAAGGGUUUGCUCGCCAGAUCAGAGAUCCAACACACCUGGACACUGCUGAGGUCCCAGUGGCAGUUCUGCCUCCAUAUAAGACAAGAGGACAGACAUCAGAGUAUUGGAACUGUUUGCAUCUACCAGAAGGGAACCUUGGUCCCAUACCCACCAGGAGAGGAAGAGACUCCUGCUACACCCACCAGAAGAAUGGAUGAAAAGAGGUCAGGAAAAAGUAUAUUCAAC